GACGAACGCUGGCGGCGUGCUUAACACAUGCAAGUCGAACGGAAAGGCCCUGCUUUUGUGGGGUGCUCGAGUGGCGAACGGGUGAGUAACACGUGGGUAACCUGCCCUUGCCUUUGGGAUAACUUCAGGAAAUUGGGGCUAUUACCGGAUAGGAGUUCUGGCGGCUUGGUGGGGGUGGGAAAGUUUCGGCGGUUGGGGAUGGACUCGCGGCUUAUCAGCUUGUUGGUGGGGUAGUGGCUUACCAAGGCUUUGACGGGUAGCCGGCCUGGAGGGGUGACCGGCCACAUUGGGACUGAGAUACGGCCCAGACUCCUACGGGAGGCAGCAGUGGGGAAUAUUGCACAAUGGGCGGAAGCCUGAUGCAGCAACGCCGCGUGCGGGAUGACGGCCUUCGGGUUGUAAACCGCUUUCGCCUGUGACGAAGCGUGAGUGACGGUAAUGGGUAAAGAAGCACCGGCUAACUACGUG
RNAcentral lists this ribosomal RNA (468 nucleotides) under uncultured bacterium. Its description in RNAcentral is "partial 16S ribosomal RNA". It matches the Rfam family "Bacterial small subunit ribosomal RNA", at positions 28 to 507 of the family's 1533-position model. The record is from RNAcentral.